UAGGGAAUCUUCCGCAAUGGACGAAAGUCUGACGGAGCAACGCCGCGUGAGUGAAGAAGGUUUUCGGAUCGUAAAACUCUGUUGUUAGGGAAGAACAAGUGCCGUUCGAAUAGGGCGGCACCUUGACGGUACCUAACCAGAAAGCCACGGCUAACUACGUGCCAGCAGCCGCGGUAAUACGUAGGUGGCAAGCGUUGUCCGGAAUUAUUGGGCGUAAAGCGCGCGCAGGUGGUUUCUUAAGUCUGAUGUGAAAGCCCACGGCUCAACCGUGGAGGGUCAUUGGAAACUGGGGAACUUGAGUGCAGAAGAGGAAAGUGGAAUUCCAAGUGUAGCGGUGAAAUGCGUAGAUAUUUGGAGGAACACCAGUGGCGAAGGCGACUUUCUGGUCUGUAACUGACACUGAGGCGCGAAAGCGUGGGGAGCAAACAGG
Molecule: ribosomal RNA, 430 nt
Filed under: uncultured Bacillus sp.
Lineage: Bacteria; Bacillati; Bacillota; Bacilli; Caryophanales; Bacillaceae
Description: bacterial SSU rRNA
Rfam family: Bacterial small subunit ribosomal RNA
Source: RNAcentral